This 492-nucleotide ribosomal RNA is filed under the name uncultured bacterium. RNAcentral describes it as "partial 16S ribosomal RNA". It matches the Rfam family "Bacterial small subunit ribosomal RNA", at positions 29 to 507 of the family's 1533-position model. The record is from RNAcentral.
AGUGAACGCUGGCGGUAGGCCUAACACAUGCAAGUCGAACGGCAGCACAGUAAGAGCUUGCUCUUACGGGUGGCGAGUGGCGGACGGGUGAGGUAUACAUCGGACUCUACUUUUUCGUGGGGGAUCACGUAGGGAAACUUACUCUAAUACCGCAUACGACCUACGGGUGAAAGCAGGGGAUCUUCGCAUCUUGCGCGAUUGAAUGCGCCGAUGUCGGAUUAGCUAGUUCGCGGGGUAAAGGCCCACCAAGGCGACGAUCCGUAGCUGGUCUGAGAGGAUGAUCAGCCACACUGGAACUGAGACACGGUCCAGACUCCUACGGGAGGCAGCAGUGGGGAAUAUUGGACAAUGGGCGCAGGCCUGAUCCAGCCAUACCGCGUGGGUGAAGAAGGCCUUCGGGUUGUAAAGCCCUUUUGUUGGGAAAGAAAAGCAGCAGGUUAAUACCCCGCGGUUCUGACGGUACCCAAAGAAUAAGCACCGGCUAACUUCGUG